UUGGAGGGCAGUCUGGUGCCAGCAGCCGCGUGUAUUCCAGCUCCAUAGCGUAUAUUAAAGUUGUUGCAGUUAAAAAGCUCGUAGUUGAAUUUCGGGAUCAGAUUGUCGGUCGUGCCUCGGUACGCACUGGUAUUAUUGGUUCCUACCUCUCUGAAGAACCGCGAUGUCAUUAAUUUGGUGUCGUGGGGAAUCAGGACUGUUACUUUGAAAAAAUUAGAGUGUUUAAAGCAGGCUUACGCUUGAAUACAUUAGCAUGGAAUAAUGAAAUAGGACGUUUGAUUCUAUUUUGUUGGUUUCUAGGAUUGACGUAAUGAUUAAUAGGGAUAGUUGGGGGCAUUAGUAUUCAAUUGUCAGAGGUGAAAUUCUUGGAUUUAUUGAAGACUAACUACUGCGAAAGCAUUUGCCAAGGAUGUUUUCAUUAAUCAAGAACGAAAGUUAGGGGAUCGAAGACGAUCAGAUACCGUCGUAGUCUUAACCAUAAACUAUGCCGACUAGGGAUCGGAUGAUGUUAAUUUUUUAAUGACUCAUUCGGCGCCUUACGGGAAAC
Molecule: ribosomal RNA, 547 nt
Filed under: uncultured Glomeromycotina
Lineage: Eukaryota; Fungi; Glomeromycota
Description: SSU rRNA
Rfam family: Eukaryotic small subunit ribosomal RNA
Source: RNAcentral